RNAcentral lists this RNase P RNA (336 nucleotides) under bovine gut metagenome. RNAcentral's name for it is "Bacterial RNase P class A". It matches the Rfam family "Bacterial RNase P class A". Rfam says of the family: Ribonuclease P (RNase P) is a ubiquitous endoribonuclease, found in archaea, bacteria and eukarya as well as chloroplasts and mitochondria. Its best characterised activity is the generation of mature 5'-ends of tRNAs by cleaving the 5'-leader elements of precursor-tRNAs. The record is from RNAcentral.
AAUAAAUGGUCGCGGCUGGCUGUGCCGAAAGGUGCCAGACGAGGAAAGUCCGGGCUUCACAGGGCAGGAUGCCGGAUAACGUCCGGUGGAGGUGACUCCCAGGAAAGUGCAACAGAAAUAAACCGCCGGCCUCUGGCCGGCAAGGGUGGAAAGGCAGUGUAAGAGACUACCGCCUCCCUGGUAACAGGAAGGGCACAUGUAAACCCCAUUCGAAGCAAGACCGCAACGAGACAUAUGGCGGCCCGUCAGUCUCAGGUAGGUCGCUUGAGCCUGCCGGUAACGGCAGGCCUGGAUAGAUGACCAUUCACGACAUAACCCGGCUUACAGUUCUGCUCA